GAAUGAACGCUGGCGGCGCGCCUAAUACAUGCAAGUCGAGCGAGAAGACGUAGCAAUACGUUUGUAAAGCGGCGAACGGGUGAGGAAUACAUGGGUAACCUACCCUCGAGUGGGGAAUAACUAGCCGAAAGGUUAGCUAAUACCGCGUACGCUUCUUGGACUUCGGUUCAGGGAGGAAAGCGAUGCCGAGGGUAUCGCGCUCUUGGAUGGGCUCAUGUCCUAUCAGCUUGUGGUGAGGUAACGGCUCACCAAGGCUUCGACGGGUAGCUGGUCUGAGAGGACGAUCAGCCACACUGGCACUGCGACACGGGCCAGACUCCUACGGGAGGCAGCAGUAAGGAAUAUUGCGCAAUGGGCGAAAGCCUGACGCAGCGACGCCGCGUGGGGGAUGAAGGUCUUCGGAUUGUAAACCCCUUUCGGGAGGGAAGAUGGGACGGGCGAACCGUUCGGACGGUACCUCCAGAAGCAGCCACGGCUAACUUCGUGCCAGCAGCCG
RNAcentral lists this ribosomal RNA (496 nucleotides) under uncultured bacterium. Its description in RNAcentral is "bacterial SSU rRNA". It matches the Rfam family "Bacterial small subunit ribosomal RNA", at positions 27 to 517 of the family's 1533-position model. The record is from RNAcentral.